CCUACGGAGGGCGGCCGUGAGGAAUAUUGGUCAAUGGGCGCGAGCCUGAACCAGCCAAGUAGCGUGAAGGAUGACUGCCCUACGGGUUGUAAACUUCUUUUAUAAAGGAAUAAAGUGAGGCACGUGUGCCUUUUGUAUGUACUUUAUGAAUAAGGAUCGGCUAACUCCGUGCCAGCAGCCGCGGUAAUACGGAGGAUCCGAGCGUUAUCCGGAUUUAUUGGGUUUAAAGGGAGCGUAGAUGGGUUGUUAAGUCAGUUGUGAAAGUUUGCGGCUCAACCGUAAAAUUGCAAUUGAUACUGGCAGUCUUGAGUACAGUUGAGGUAGGCGGAAUUCGUGGUGUAGCGGUGAAAUGCUUAGAUAUCACGAAGAACUCCGAUUGCGAAGGCAGCUUACUAAACUGCCACUGACAUUGAUGCUCGAAAGUGUGGGUAUCAAACAGGAUUAGAUACCCUUGUAGUC
Molecule: ribosomal RNA, 459 nt
Filed under: uncultured bacterium
Lineage: Bacteria
Description: partial 16S ribosomal RNA
Rfam family: Bacterial small subunit ribosomal RNA
Source: RNAcentral